CACACCUGAGCUUUGGCAUCCAAGAGCAGGAGACAAUGGAUCCCAAGAGGAAAGGCCAGAGAAAGAAGGCUGAGUGCAGAGCAGAAAGGGGACGACUUGGUCAUGUGGAAAAUGGGUGCAUAGAGAAGGAGACGAGGCCCAUGGGAGACCAUUGGAUGCUCAGGAAACUCCAGGACGAGUAACACCCUGUAAAUGACAGCCUGAUGGGACAAGAUCCUGGGGAAAAUUAAUUCCAUGAGGACAAGAGUCCUGAUGACUGAAGAAUAGAUUCAGGCCCUGGGUGGUUUCUCAUGAAAAGUGAAAGGAAUCAGGUGAGCACACCUGAGCUUUGGCAUCCAAGAGCAGGAGACAUUGGAUCCCAAGAGGAAAGGCCAGAGAAAGAAGGCUGAGUGCAGAGCAGAAAGGGGAAGACUUGGUCACGUGGAAAAUGGGUGCAUAGAGAAGGAGAGGAGGCCUGUGGGCAGGAAUCCAGAGGUUUGCAUCCCAGGAGCUCAAGACAAUUGGAUACCAGGAGAAGACAAUGGAAGGAAGAAGGCUGAGUGAAGAGCAGAAAUGGGAAGACUUAGUCAUGUGGAAACUGAGUUCUGGAAGAGAAGACGCCAAUGGGUGGAUACCAAACUGAGAACUAAUAGGGAAGACCUUGGUCCCCAUCCCCAGGAAGGAAAGAAAGUUAGUGAGGAAGGAUGGAAGGAAAAGCAAAGUCUGGCAAGUUGGCCACACUGGCCUUGAACUUGAAACCCUCCUACCUCAGCUUUGUGUACCUAUUCCGUUCACUUUUCAAGAGAAACCACCGAGGGCCUGAAUCUACUCUUCAGUCAUCAGGACUCUGGUCCUUGUGGAAUUAAUUUUCCCAAGGAUCUUCUCCCAUCACGUGGUCAUUUACAGGGUGUUACUGGUCCUGGAGUUUCCUGAGCAUCCAGUGGUCUCCUAAAGGAGGAUAAAGUCCAUGAAUGAAAUCAGACAACUGAGAAAGCUCUGGAAGCUGGAGGAGAUUUAUUCUGGCUAACAACUCACCAGUCCAAGGGGUCUGUCACUGGACUAUGCUCCAAGACAAGCAGCGA
Molecule: long non-coding RNA, 1061 nt
Organism: Sciurus carolinensis (gray squirrel)
Lineage: Eukaryota; Metazoa; Chordata; Mammalia; Rodentia; Sciuridae
Exons: 5
Source: RefSeq, a predicted model, not a curated record